This 326-nucleotide ribosomal RNA is filed under the name uncultured Planctomycetota bacterium. RNAcentral's name for it is "bacterial SSU rRNA". It matches the Rfam family "Bacterial small subunit ribosomal RNA", at positions 29 to 351 of the family's 1533-position model. The record is from RNAcentral. Lineage: Bacteria; Pseudomonadati; Planctomycetota.
AAUGAACGUUGGCGGCGUGGAUUAGGCAUGCAAGUCGUGCGAGAAGCUUUAGUUUGAAACUUCGGUCGAUUACUAAGGUGGAAAGCGGCGAAAGGGAGAGUAACGCGUAGAUAUCUACCCCUAGACCUGGGAUAGCUGUGGGAAACUGCAGGUAAUACCGGAUAAUGUCUUCGGACCAAAGGUGUGAUUCCGUCUAGGGAUGAGUCUGCGUCCUACUAGCUUGUUGGUGGGGUAAUGGCCUACCAAGGCAAUGAUGGGUAGCGGGCGUGAGAGCGUGGCCCGUCUCACUGGGACUGAGACACUGCCCAGACACCUACGGGUGGCAG